GACAGAGGUGCCGAGCGUUAGGCGGAAUCACUGGGCUUAAAGCGUGUGUAGGCGGAUGGGUAAGUACCUUGUGAAAUCCCACGGCUCAACCGUGGAACUGCUCGGUAUACUGCUCGUCUUGAGCCAACUAGGGGCGACCGGAACAAACGGUGGAGCGGUGAAAUGCGUAGAUAUCGUUUGGAACGCCGAUGGUGAAAACAGGUCGCUGGGGUUGUGCUGACGCUGAGACACGAAAGCCAGGGGAGCAAACAGG
This 253-nucleotide ribosomal RNA is filed under the name uncultured bacterium. RNAcentral's name for it is "partial 16S ribosomal RNA". It matches the Rfam family "Bacterial small subunit ribosomal RNA", at positions 524 to 776 of the family's 1533-position model. The record is from RNAcentral.